This 378-nucleotide ribosomal RNA is filed under the name uncultured eukaryote. RNAcentral describes it as "partial 18S ribosomal RNA". It matches the Rfam family "Eukaryotic small subunit ribosomal RNA", at positions 592 to 976 of the family's 1831-position model. The record is from RNAcentral.
CAAUAGCGUAUAUUAAAGUUGUUGCAGUUAAAAAGCUCGUAGUUGAAACUUGGGCCUGGCUGGCGGGUCCGCCUCACCGCGUGCACUCGUCCGGCCGGGCCUUCCUUCUGAAGAACCUCAUGCCCUUCACUGGGCGUGCUGGGGAAUCAGGACUUUUACUUUGAAAAAAUUAGAGUGUUCAAAGCAGGCCUUUGCUCGAAUACGUUAGCAUGGAAUAAUAAAAUAGGGCGUGCGUUUCUAUUUUGUUGGUUUCUAGAGACGCCGCAAUGAUUAACAGGAACAGUCGGGGGCAUCAGUAUUCAGUUGUCAGAGGUGAAAUUCUUGGAUUUACUGAAGACUAACUACUGCGAAAGCAUUUGCCAUGGAUGUUUNCAUUAA